AUACGGAGGGUCCGAGCGUUAUCCGGAAUCAUUGGGUUUAAAGGGUCCGUAGGCGGGAAUCUAAGUCAGUGGUGAAAUCUUGCAGCUCAACUGUAAAAUUGCCAUUGAUACUGGAUUUCUUGAAUUAGUGUGAAGUGGUUAGAAUGUGUAGUGUAGCGGUGAAAUGCAUAGAUAUUACACAGAAUACCAAUUGCGAAGGCAGAUCACUAACACUAUAUUGACGCUAAGGGACGAAAGCGUGGGGAGCGAACAGGAUUAGAUACCCUGGUAGUCC
RNAcentral lists this ribosomal RNA (274 nucleotides) under uncultured bacterium. RNAcentral's name for it is "partial 16S ribosomal RNA". It matches the Rfam family "Bacterial small subunit ribosomal RNA", at positions 523 to 796 of the family's 1533-position model. The record is from RNAcentral.